Molecule: long non-coding RNA, 682 nt
Filed under: Homo sapiens (human)
Lineage: Eukaryota; Metazoa; Chordata; Mammalia; Primates; Hominidae
Description: HSALNT0293923
Source: RNAcentral
UCGCUCGCGCGCAGAACGCGGCGGUCAGCUGCGCCCGGCCUGAAGUUGUCCCAACCGCGGCCGCGUCGGUCGCCCUUUUGACUUGCAGCAGGGCGGGCAGAGCGACUUAGAGGAAAAGUGACUUUUUGUACCCUCCUGCAGGGAGCAGGUUCUCUGUCCUUGUUUAAUUAGACAUUUCUCAGAGAAUCCUGCCUCUGCUCUGAAGCCUUUCUGUUCGCUCCAGUGAAAAUUAGUCAUCCACCGGGCGCGGUGGCUCACGCCUGCAAUCCCAGCACUUUGGGAGGCCGAGGUCUGGGCUUGAUGUUCACCGAUUUUCCCUCAGCUCCGACUGUGGCUCCUCUCAGCUGACUCUGACCCUGCUCUCAGCCGGGCUGCAUCUGCCCAUCUCAGCACAUCAAUAAACAGCAGAGGGAAACUACCACCUUGGAAGGAGCCAGGCAGUUUCUGCUGGGUAGGCCGCAGCCUGGAACAUGGAAGUAGCUUCUUCCAUCCUACACUGGAAACCACCCAGCAUCCCGGGCCCUCCAGAGAAGAGCCAGACUCCCUUCCCUGGGAAGAGACUAUAGUCCUAUCUGUAUCCUCCGUGGUCAUUGCCCCUCAGUCACAGCAAUGAAGAGCAAAUUACCUGUUUUCUGUAUGUUCCUCUGACAACAACUGCCACAGAGUAAAUAUGAAAGGUUCU